CUCCCAUCUACCCGCGUGCGCUCAGGCUUCCUUUCUGCAAGCCAACCCUGCCUAGACCCCCUGUCCAGGUGCACCGGCUCCCAGAAAACAAGCCUCCAAGACUCUGAAGCCAAUCUACCUCCUGGUAACAACUUACACCUUGAUAUUCAGAGAUACCAGAUGGAGAAAGAGCCCUGGACACUCUGUGGUUUCAUGCAGCAACUUGUCACCCUCAUGGAAACAUACCAUCUUCUCUCUGAUGGGUCCAGCAAAACCUGGUAUGUUCCUUAUUGACUAGCCCAGCUUGGG
Molecule: long non-coding RNA, 288 nt
Filed under: Vulpes vulpes (red fox)
Lineage: Eukaryota; Metazoa; Chordata; Mammalia; Carnivora; Canidae
Description: lncRNA (ENSVVUG00000013185.1)
Source: RNAcentral